UACGUAGGUGGCAAGCGUGUUCCGGAACUAUUCGGUGUAAAGUGCGCGCAGGUGGUUCUUUAAGUCUGAUGUGAAAGCCCACGGCUCAACCGUGGAGGGUCAUUGUAAACUGGGGAACUUGAGUGCAGAAGAGGAAAGUGGAAUUCCAAGUGUAGCGGUGAAAUGCGUAGAUAUUUGGAGGAACACCAGUGGCGAAGGCGACUUUCUGGUCUGUAACUGACACUGAGGCGCGAAAGCGUGGGGAGCGAACAGG
This 253-nucleotide unclassified non-coding RNA is filed under the name uncultured Bacillaceae bacterium. RNAcentral's name for it is "contains 16S-23S intergenic spacer region". It matches the Rfam family "Bacterial small subunit ribosomal RNA", at positions 524 to 776 of the family's 1533-position model. The record is from RNAcentral. Lineage: Bacteria; Bacillati; Bacillota; Bacilli; Caryophanales; Bacillaceae.